RNAcentral lists this ribosomal RNA (497 nucleotides) under uncultured bacterium. RNAcentral describes it as "partial 16S ribosomal RNA". It matches the Rfam family "Bacterial small subunit ribosomal RNA", at positions 28 to 507 of the family's 1533-position model. The record is from RNAcentral.
GAUGAACGCUGGCGGCGUGCCUAAUACAUGCAAGUCGAGCGAACGGACGAGAAGCUUGCUUCUCUGAUGUUAGCGGCGGACGGGUGAGUAACACGUGGAUAACCUACCUAUCAGACUGGGAUAACUUCGGGAAACCGUAGCUAAUACCGGAUAAUAUUUUGAACCGCAUUGUUCAAAAGUGAAAGACGGUCUUGCUGUCACUUAUAGAUGGAUCCGCGCUGCAUUAGCUAGUUGGUAAGGUAACGGCUUACCAAGGCAACGAUGCAUAGCCGACCUGAGAGGGUGAUCGGCCACACUGGAACUGAGACACGGUCCAGACUCCUACGGGAGGCAGCAGUAGGGAAUCGUCCGCAAUGGGCGAAAGCCUGACGGAGCAACGCCGCGUGAGUGAUGAAGGUCUUCGGAUCGUAAAACUCUGUUAUUAGGGAAGAACAUAUGUGUAAGUAACUGUGCACAUCUUGACGGUACCUAAUCAGAAAGCCACGGCUAACUACGUG